AAUAAUAAUAAUAAUAUCGCAGUCCAGCUGUUUUUAAAUUCCUUUUCUCUUUCUUUCAAAUCCUUUCUCAAUCCAUCUUCCUUUAAUCUCUCCCUCUUCUUCCGCUCAAAUUAUCCAAAAAUCUCUCCUCGUCUGCAAACUCUCUCUUACUUGUCUGAAACGCCUUAAUAUCUUCUCUCCACUGCCAUUUUCUAUAUCUCUUUUUUUGAUCUAUCACUACUACUUGGUGUUCUCUGUGGUUCUCUCUUAAUUGACUAUCGUUAGAACUUGUAAGGUGAAGAAUGGUGGUAGAAGAGGUGAAUUAACUAAUGAAUUUGGGUAUAAUGAAUCUAGUGAAUUGGGCAGUGGAAAUUUUGUAAAUGAGAGAGGGUUAUUAGGGUUUUAGUCAUGGCGCAAGAGGCUACUCAGAGCUGGAUGUUUUCUUACAAGGGGAUGUCAUCCGAUAACAUUAAGGGUUUGGUAUUAGCAAUGUCUUCGAGCGUAUUCAUUGGUGCCAGCUUCAUUAUAAAGAAGAAGGGAUUGAAGAAGGCCGGGGCAUCGGGAGUUAGGGCAGGUGUUGGAGGCUAUUCUUACUUAUACGAACCACUUUGGUGGUUGGGCAUGAUAACAAUGAUUGUUGGGGAAAUUGCUAAUUUUGCAGCCUAUGCAUUUGCGCCAGCAAUACUCGUUACUCCUCUUGGUGCACUCAGCAUUAUUAUCAGUGCUGUACUUGCACAUAUUAUCUUACGGGAGAAGCUACAUAUUUUUGGUAUUCUUGGUUGUAUUCUGUGCGUUGUGGGGUCGACAACAAUUGUUUUACAUGCUCCUCAAGAACGUGAAAUUGAGUCUGUGACACAAGUAUGGGAUCUUGCUACUGAGCCAGCUUUUCUUAUGUAUGCCGCUUUGGUAUUAGCAGCAGUUUUUCUACUUGUAGUCCAUGUUAUCCCACAGUACGGGCAGACACAUAUAAUGGUCUAUAUUGGGGUUUGUUCACUUGUGGGUUCUCUAACGGUCAUGAGUGUUAAAGCAUUAGGAAUUGCUUUGAAGUUAACAUUCUCGGGAAUGAAUCAGCUGGUAUACCCUCAGACAUGGGUAUUCACCAUUGUUGUAGUCACAUGUGUGAUUACCCAACUGAACUAUUUAAACAAGGCACUUGAUACUUUCAACACUGCUGUUGUAUCACCCAUCUACUAUGUGAUGUUCACAUCAUUAACCAUUGUGGCCAGUGUGAUUAUGUUUAAGGACUGGGAUCGGCAAAAUGCAACUCAGAUUGUCACAGAAAUGUGUGGGUUUGUGACUAUUCUGUCUGGGACAUUUCUUCUUCACAAAACCAAGGACAUGGCUGAUGGUCCAUUUACCUCCUUCCGCCUUUCUAAGCUCACAGAAGUGGGUGACUAUGAUCCUGAAGGCAUCCCCCUUAAGUGCUAGGAAUCCUUGCGGUUACCGUGAUACUUGGUUAAUUCAUUGUGCUAUCUUUCAUACUUUUGUGGGGAGCAAACUGAAUGUCACCUACCUGUACUCCCAUGAAAUGUUUUUUGGAUACAAUUAGAGAAGAACAGGAGGUUCUUUGGAUCAAAAUGAGAUGAUAGCGGGCUGUAACCUCCAAUUUCAAUUUCCUCCCCCUGCUUGUGAGGGAUUCGGCAAAUGCAAGCUGGAUAUGAUCCUCAGAAGGCAUUACUGUUGAUGAGGUCCUGGCAGUGCAGUUGUUGAUUUUAAUAUUUCAUAUGUAAAAUUUAUGAUUGCUUAGUCAUGUUGCAGCUGGCCAUGUUGAAUCAAUAUUAUUCUCUUUGAUCGGUUAAUUAACAUUUCAUUGAGGUAGAAAACAACUUGACCUAUUACGGUGGAGUUGAUAGGGACUAUUUUAAUUUUCCACAUCUUACAAACUUCUUGUUGCCUAUUUUUCACUAGCUUUGUAAUAUAUUAGCAGAGGUGCCUGAUAUGGUAAGGCCUAAACAGGUUGAAGAAGAAGAAGAAAGAAAGAAAGAAAGAAAAAGAAAG
RNA transcript from Macadamia integrifolia, 1977 nucleotides. It is a transcript of the gene named probable magnesium transporter NIPA3, with no coding region annotated. The record is from RefSeq and is a predicted model, not a curated record. Lineage: Eukaryota; Viridiplantae; Streptophyta; Magnoliopsida; Proteales; Proteaceae. The transcript is spliced from 10 exons.